RNAcentral lists this non-coding RNA (31 nucleotides) under Homo sapiens (human). Lineage: Eukaryota; Metazoa; Chordata; Mammalia; Primates; Hominidae. The record is from RNAcentral.
UGUAAGGAAUCUCACCUCCUGAUCAGGGGUC